RNAcentral lists this ribosomal RNA (504 nucleotides) under uncultured bacterium. RNAcentral describes it as "partial 16S ribosomal RNA". It matches the Rfam family "Bacterial small subunit ribosomal RNA", at positions 29 to 507 of the family's 1533-position model. The record is from RNAcentral.
ACGAACGCUGGCGGCGUGCCUAAUACCUGCAAGUAGAACGCACAGUUUAUACCGUAGCUUGCUACACCAUAGACUGUGAGUUGCGAACGGGUGAGUAACGCGUAGGUAACCUGCCUGGUAGCGGGGGAUAACUAUUGGAAACGAUAGCUAAUACCGCAUAAUAUUAAUUAUUGCAUGAUAAUUAAUUGAAAGGUGCAAUUGCACCACUACCAGAUGGACCUGCGUUGUAUUAGCUAGUAGGUGAGGUAACGGCUCACCUAGGCGACGAUACAUAGCCGACCUGAGAGGGUGAUCGGCCACACUGGGACUGAGACACGGCCCAGACUCCUACGGGAGGCAGCAGUAGGGAAUCUUCGGCAAUGGACGAAAGUCUGACCGAGCAACGCCGCGUGAGUGAAGAAGGGUUUCGGAUCGUAAAGCUCUGUUGUAAGAGAAGAACGGGUGUGAGAGUGGAAAGUUCACACUGUGACGGUAUCUUACCAGAAAGGGACGGCUAACUACGUG